RNAcentral lists this ribosomal RNA (433 nucleotides) under uncultured bacterium. RNAcentral describes it as "partial 16S ribosomal RNA". It matches the Rfam family "Bacterial small subunit ribosomal RNA", at positions 29 to 507 of the family's 1533-position model. The record is from RNAcentral.
AACGAACGCUGGCGGCAUGCCUAACACAUGCAAGUCGAACGAGACCUUCGGGUCUAGUGGCGCACGGGUGCGUAACGCGUGGGAACCUGCCCUUAGGUUCGGAAUAACUCCCCGAAAGGGGUGCUAAUACCGGAUAAUGUCUUCGGACCAAAGAUUUAUCGCCGUUGGAUGGGCCCGCGUUGGAUUAGCUAGUUGGUAGGGUAAAAGCCUACCAAGGCGACGAUCCAUAGCUGGUCUGAGAGGAUGAUCAGCCACACUGGGACUGAGACACGGCCCAGACUCCUACGGGAGGCAGCAGUGGGGAAUAUUGGACAAUGGGCGAAAGCCUGAUCCAGCAAUGCCGCGUGAGUGAUGAAGGCCGUAGGGUUGUAAAGCUCUUUUACCCGGGAUGAUAAUGACAGUACCGGGAGAAUAAGCACCGGCUAACUCCGUG